Molecule: ribosomal RNA, 1373 nt
Filed under: Bacillus cereus
Lineage: Bacteria; Bacillati; Bacillota; Bacilli; Caryophanales; Bacillaceae
Description: partial 16S ribosomal RNA
Rfam family: Bacterial small subunit ribosomal RNA
Source: RNAcentral
CCGAACGCAGCCGAUAAUGCAGUCGAGCGAAGGAUAAGAGCUUGCUCUUAUGAAGUUAGCGGCGGACGGGUGAGUAACACGUGGGUAACCUGCCCAUAAGACUGGGAUAACUCCGGGAAACCGGGGCUAAUACCGGAUAACAUUUUGAACCGCAUGGUUCGAAAUUGAAAGGCGGCUUCGGCUGUCACUUAUGGAUGGACCCGCGUCGCAUUAGCUAGUUGGUGAGGUAACGGCUCACCAAGGCAACGAUGCGUAGCCGACCUGAGAGGGUGAUCGGCCACACUGGGACUGAGACACGGCCCAGACUCCUACGGGAGGCAGCAGUAGGGAAUCUUCCGCAAUGGACGAAAGUCUGACGGAGCAACGCCGCGUGAGUGAUGAAGGCUUUCGGGUCGUAAAACUCUGUUGUUAGGGAAGAACAAGUGCUAGUUGAAUAAGUAGUUGGCCAGCGUUAUCCGGGAAUAAUGGGCGUAAAGCGCGCGCAGGUUGUUUCUUAAGUUUGAAGUGAAAGCCCCCGGCUCAACCGUGGAGGGUCAUUGGAAACUGGGAGACUUGAGUGCAGAAGAGGAAAGUUGAAUUCCAUGUGUAGCGGUGAAAUGCGUAGAGAUAUGGAGGAACCCCAGUGGCGAAGGCGACUUUUUGGUUUGUAACUGACAAUGAGGCGGGAAAGCGUGGGGAGCAAACCGGAUUAGAUACCCUGGUAGUUCCCGCCGUAAACGAUGAGUGCUAAGUGUUAGAGGGUUUCCGCCCUUUAGUGGUGAAGUUAACGCCUUAAGCCCUCCGCCUGGGGAGUACGGCCGCAAGGCUGAAACUCAAAGGAAUUGGCGGGGGCCCGCACCAGCGGUGGAGCAUGUGGUUUAAUUUGAAGCAACGGGAAGAACCUUACCAGGUUUUGACAUCCUUUGACAACCCUAGAGAUAGGGCUUUUCCUUCGGGAGCAGAGUGACAGGUGGUGCAUGGUUGUUGUCAGCUCGUGUCGUGAGAUGUUGGGUUAAGUCCCGCAACGAGCGCAACCCUUGAUUUUAGUUGCCAUCAUUUAGUUGGGCCCUUUAAGGUGACUGCCGGUGACAAACCGGAGGAAGGUGGGGAAGACGUCAAAUCAUCAUGCCCCUUAUGACCUGGGCUACACACGUGGUACAAUGGGCGGUACAAAGAGCUGCAAGGCCGCGAGGUGGAGCUAAUUUCAUAAAACCGUUUUCAGUUUGGAUUGUAGGCUGCAACUUGCCUACAUGAAGCUGGAAUCGCUAGUAAUCGCGGAUCAGCAUGCCGCGGUGAAUACGUUCCCGGGCCUUGUCACACCGCCCGUCACACCCCGAGAGUUUGUACACCCGAAGUCGGUGGGGUACCUUUUGACCCGCCGCUUUAGUGUCUUG